This 232-nucleotide ribosomal RNA is filed under the name uncultured bacterium. RNAcentral describes it as "partial 16S ribosomal RNA". It matches the Rfam family "Bacterial small subunit ribosomal RNA", at positions 85 to 334 of the family's 1533-position model. The record is from RNAcentral.
CAAUACGUCAGCGGCAGACGGGUGAGUAACGCGUGGGAACGUACCUUUUGGUUCGGAACAACACAGGGAAACUUGUGCUAAUACCGGAUAAGCCCUUACGGGGAAAGAUUUAUCGCCGAAAGAUCGGCCCGCGUCUGAUUAGCUAGUUGGUGAGGUAAUGGCUCACCAAGGCGACGAUCAGUAGCUGGUCUGAGAGGAUGAUCAGCCACAUUGGGACUGAGACACGGCCCAA